Molecule: long non-coding RNA, 4524 nt
Organism: Passer domesticus (house sparrow)
Lineage: Eukaryota; Metazoa; Chordata; Aves; Passeriformes; Passeridae
Exons: 4
Source: RefSeq, a predicted model, not a curated record
GUCAGCUGCCAAAACCCGGCCAUGCACGGCAAGAGGGGAGAGCCCCAGCGCUGGGGAAGGUCUCGCAGCAGUAGUGGCCUGUGAUAAAUGUUAUGAGUAAAAAGUUAUCAGUUUUUUUUAAGGCUGCAGAGUUAAAACAGGUUGGACCAGUUGCUGUUAAGUUGAAAGUUUGACUAUUUGUUGUUAAUAGCUUCAUGUUGCGGUCACCUAUUGCUGAGAGUUUUUCUUCGAUUGCCUGUUAAUGGUUGCUGAUCAGCCAUUGUUCCCCCUGCUGCUUGCCAGAGAGUGACAUGGGACCCUGCAGGUAGCAGGGGAAGGGAAUGACACUAGAGCUGAUAUGAAGAUGAGAAUGCAUUUCACCAGAUUUUGCAAUUUUCCAGGAAAAAACCCUAAAAACAAUGAGCCAACAUGGAAUUAAGAGACCUAAGUGAUGUCUAAAGGAAAAUAACAGAAACUACAGAAACUAGCUGCUCAUCUGGAUAAAGCUUCCUGCUCAUUCUUGGACAUCCCCUUUGAUUAUGUGGGAGUCAUUUAAAAAUGUAGAAGAUGAGGAUGGGAAGGCUACAUUUUAUUAAGUCCUGUCUCCUGAGUAGCACCUGGAAAUUAUCUCAAGCUGUCACUGGUGGCCUGCUCAUAUUUUGUACUUUUUCCCUCUCCACAGCUUAAGCUGAGGAGGAGAAUUGUUUGGCACCUGUCAUCCAGCCAGGCUGAAUCCACCACAGAUGCCUAAAUCCUGACUCUUCAACCAGUUGAUCUAUAAUCACUCUCUGGCUUCAACUAUAAGACAUAGAAACCCAAGUGGAUAAACCAAAGAAGAAAAAUUAAUUCAACAAAGAAAGGAGUAAUAUAAAAGGAAGAUGAAAUAUGUUUGUUUGUUGGGUUGGUUUUUUUCAAGAAUAUUCUCUGCUCCUUGCCAAAAAACCUGAACAUUUUGGUAAAGUUAUGUACCCUGAAAAACAGGUUAUUAAAAUGUGAAGGAGUUGUUCCACAAAAAUAAUUUUUAAAAAAGGUUAAAAAAAAGUAUGUUUCUUCUAACCUUGUAUGCAGACAUUUCUCAGUGUAUUAAAAAUAUUCAGACAUUGUCGGAAUGAGCUGAACAAGAUUCUCUAGGGCUAGAAAAUAUCUCAAAUCUGGAAGCUGUGGCAAAAAUGCCCUUUGACACUAGGUAACGACAGGUUAACAUUCUCAUCUCUUACUCUGCUGUCAAAGUAAAUUAACCAUGAAUUUACUGAAGAGAAAGAAAGAGAAAGUUUUGAUUCUAAUUCUUCCUUAUUCUCACAUGAGGAAUAUUAAUAAAGUAACUCUGUAGGGAUGCAUUUAAAUUGUUAAAUAUUUUCAGUUCCUGAGUUUGCUCCUUGUUCCUUAAUUAUUCUCAUGUUAGUUUGCUAACAGGCUUUUUGUCCAGGACUGAGGCAAUAGUUUUCCUUUGGGGUAAAAUCCUGAUAUAGUUCUGGGGACGACUCAUGCCUGUGGGCAGGAGGUGUGAGGCUGUGCCAUGCAUCCUGCUCCCCAUUUGCACAGGUGUUGCAGUGCCUAUUCCAUCAUGCCUCGCACCAUUAAGAGCUCCUCAUGUCCCCCAGGAGUCAGAAGUGUGAUGUAGACCCUUGACCUUAUCAUAUCAGAUACUCAUAUCCAUCACUCACAUGAGCACAGCACUCAUUUUGUUUCAGGAAUUUAAAUAUUAAAAAUUAAAAUUAGAAUUUAAAAAAAUAAUAAUAAAAAAAGGGGGUGGGAACACAGAAAAAGCCUUAAAAAAGCCAAAUCAGAUUUUAAGAAGCAUGAAAACUGAUGCUUUAGUAGAGGAGACCUGUAUAGAGAAAUGUCUGUGCAAGCUCUUCUGCACUUUUUGGCCUCUACGUUUGGGUGGGCACCUUUUGCAUUGUAGGUAUAGCCUUGAAUCUUUCAAACAGCAUUUCUCAUGCUGAAUUCUCUGAGCAGGUGGACUGAAUUCAGUUCUCAGUGUAAACUAGAGCAGGCUCACUUGAAAAUUUUUGAUAGCAUGGCUCCUCUUAGUUAUGUAUUUGUAAAUUAUAUGAUUUUUUUUUUUUUCACAUCAGACAAGAAAAAUCUUGUAUAGCUUAAACCUGGACCAUCUGACUGAGCAAAAAAUCUCUUGUCUCUUAAACUAAACUACCCAGAUGAGCUAUCAUCCUUGGGUAAAAAACUUAUUGGAGCAGAUCAGAAAAAAUUCAUGUUCUCGGGCCCAGUAUUGGAAACCCACAGAAGUUACAAGGCCAAUAUCCCAUCUCUGAGGAAUAUCAACAAGGAUAUGCUGAUUGACUUUAGCUGUCAGAUUCAUGAUGAUUGGGACUCAGACUGCACAUGGCUUUCUCAAGUCUCUAAGAGCUAAAGGUGGGAGAUGUAUCUCAGCCCUUGGCAGCUGGGCCACUGAAGAAACUGCUAACACAAACAAAAAAAAAAAAAAAAAAAAAAAAAAAAAAAAAAAAAAAAAAAAAAAAAACCAGUCUGAAAAUUGAGUUGCUGUGGGGUCCACAUUCUUGAGAAUUUAAAAUUUAGGUAGGACUGAAUGUAACAAAUAUAAGAAAUAUUAAAUGUGACAUAUAUAGGGAAUAGCCCAAAUACUAAGAUGCCUAUCAACCUGAAUAUUCCAUUUGGGUACUUAGAGGGUAGACAGGUCCUGGGCUGGAUGAAUUUCCCUGUGCAGGUAACUCAAUCUUAGCAUUAAUGUCAAAAAGUGUAGUGUAAUUUCCUGAGUUCAGUGCCUGAACUAAGUAACUUAGACUUAGUAACUUAGUUCAGUAACUUAACUUAGUAACAAACACUAAUCCAUUCCUAAAUUUCUGUAUUACUAGACAUGGGCAUUAAGAUAUCAUAGAUCAGGCCUUAUUAGAAUUAUAAAAACCUCCAUAAAUAAAUUUUAAUAAAGCAAUGUUGAUUUUUUUUUAAUUUAAGACACAGGAUCAGAUGUUCCUCUUCCUAACCAUGGCAGCUUGAAACACAUUUUGAAUUUUUUUUUUCAUUUGUUUGGUUUAGUUACAAUUGAAUUUGCAUAUAAUCAAAUCACUCUAUGAGUCUUUAAAAAUGUAAACACAACCAAUGAAAUCCCAUUACUUAUAUCAUCACAAAAUGAAGAAUUGGCAGCAUAGUAGGAAACAUGAGAUAAAUGUGAAUAUUCAGAAUUCUCACUAGGUGCACAAGUACAUACAAAAUAGCUUUUAGGAGUAUAAUUUAUGUGCGGAAGUACCCAUUUGUCAUAUAUAACCAUCAGGCAGGAGGAAUAUGAAAAUACCUUCUUGUGAGCUGCAUAUUUCAUAUUUCAAAACAAUUGUACGCUGUUUGUUUAUUUGUUUUACCUUUGUUGACAAUAUCAGCUCAUUUUGAAUAACCUCCCUUACACAGCCUCUUCAGAGCGAAGUGAUGAUUCAGCCUGGGCUGUUUUUGGGAGACAGAGAGAGAGAGAGAGAAAGUUGAUGGGACCAGGUUUCUAAGUGGUUGUGACUCAAAACUUUAAUUGAAAUGAAAAAGGACUGCAAUUCCCAUCAUCUGAAGAACAAAAAGCAGAAGACUACCUGAAGAAGAAAGAAGAAAAAUGUUUUUUAAAACAAACAAAUGAGAAAGUUUUUGUGGAUUAUACAGAACGUUCAAAGGAAUGGAGUUAGUCGUGAACAGAUAUUAAAGAUUUCUGGUCUUACAAAGCAUCUGGCAUUUUGAAAUAAUUUAAUGGACAGUCGGUAGCUAAGACAUUGAAAGCAUGAUCCUGUAAGUCUGUAGGCAUGUCCUGAAGUGUAUAUGUCAGAGUAACAUUGUGAGAUUCAAUAGGAGGGUUCAAUGUGCCCACGCUGGCCAUGGUGAUUCAGCCCUGAACCUCGAUUCCACUUUACGUUAGAUGCUUUCCAUAAACUCUGUGUCUGUUUUCUUCCUGGCCAAAGAGCUGCUGGCUGCAUCUCUCUCUCGUGAUUCCUUCAGUGUUAGGGAUCAAGAUGUGAUUAAUAGUCACCUACAGUGCUGUUUAUGAAAAAGCAGCUCAAGAUAUCAUCGUCCAGCACGCAAGUCAUUUCCUGUUUCUUUGCCUUUCAGUAGUAGUCCUUUGGCAGAUAGGAAAGGAGAGUAUAUGUUUGAAUAUCAGAGAUCCAAGCCAAAAUAUUUGUUCAUGAAGUAACUGAAUGACUGGAAGACACAGAUAAUUGUCUUAUUAAUACUAACAGUUUAGCUCAAAGUACUUGCACAUCUCCAGUAUGCACUCAGUUUAUUGAAUUUUUUUUAAAUUCUUUCUGACAUGUGGUUAUUUAAUCUUCUGCCAACACCAUCUACCAAACAGAUUCUUCCCUGCUAUGCCCAUGAAGCUUUUGUACUAUUGAUGUUUUCACAGUGAACAGUGUAUGUGUGUCAAAUUAUAGCUAUUGAUCUUCAUUUUUUUCUAAUGUGUGUAGUUGUUUAGAUAGCAUUAUAGUUUGUCUGAUUGUGGUUAUAUAAAUAAAAGGAGUGUAAAGAAGGAAAAAAUCUUGCCAUUUUUAUUUUGUUUAUAAAUUUCACUGUUGAAAGUAGACUGUUUAUUUGAAUUGA